UUCCUUUUUAAGUUAAAUAUUGGUGCGAGACCGAUAGCGAACAAGUCCCGUGGAGGAAAGAUGAAAAGAACUUUGAAAAGAGAGUUAAAGAGUACCUGAAACUGCUGAAAGGGAACCGAAUCGUUUCCAGUGUCUAUAAUCCAUGGUAUAUUUCAUUGGUGCGUAAGUGCGUGCAGCGUUUUGGAAGUAGUUUUCUGCUCCCGUCGUUGUUGUGCAUUUGCUUGCUGGUGCCCUGUGCUGUGGUGGGACGUCAGAGUCAGUUUGUAUGUUGCGGGAAAUGGUUAUUGGGGAGGUAGGUCACUUCGGUGGCUGUUAUAUCCUGAUAACUUGUCGUCGUGGCUGAGACUGAGGUGCCUACAAUGUGCUUUCGAGUCUGCGGGCUUCUCGUGUUGCUGUUUGCUUGGAUAGCUUGCUAUGUUUGUGAAUAAGUCGUGCGAUUGAGACCUGUAGUAACUUGUUGCCGUUCGGGACUUUGACGAAAUGGAGCGAUCCGACCCGUCUUGAAACACGGACCAAGGAGUCUAACAUGUGUGCAAGUGUUAGGGUGUGGAAACCCCAGCGCGGAAUGAAAGUAAAGGGCAGCCUAGCUGCCUGAGGUAGGAAACCUUUGUUUACAGGGGUGGCACUAUCGACCGAUCAUGAACCUUCGUGGUGAAAGAUUUGAGUUUGAGCACAUAUGUUGGUACCCGAAAGAUGGUGAACUAUGCCUGAGUAGGGUGAAGCCAGGGGAAACUCUGGUGGAAGCUCGUAGCGAUUCUGACGUGCAAAUCGAUCGUCGAACUUGGGUAUAGGGGCGAAAGACUAAUCGAACCAUCUAGUAGCUGGUUCCCUCCGAAAUUUCCCUCAGGAUAGCAGCAACUUAUUUACGAUAGUUUUAUGAGGUAAAGCGAAUGAUUAGAGGAUUCUGUGGAGAAACUCUGUGGACCUAUUCUCAAACUUUAAAUCUGUAAGACCUGCAGGUUUCUUAAUUGAACUUGUGGAUGUGAAUAUCAAGUUGCUAGUGGGCCAUACGGGGUAAGCUCGUCUGGCGAUGCGGGAUGAACCGAACGCAAUGUUAAAGUGCCAAAGUGCCCGCUCACCUAGAUACCAUAAAAGGUGUUGGUUC
Molecule: ribosomal RNA, 1105 nt
Filed under: Pythium capillosum
Lineage: Eukaryota; Oomycota; Peronosporomycetes; Pythiales; Pythiaceae
Description: partial large subunit ribosomal RNA
Rfam family: Eukaryotic large subunit ribosomal RNA
Source: RNAcentral